AGCAGCCGCGGUAAUUCCAGCUCCAAUAGCGUAUAUUAAAGUUGUUGCAGUUAAAAAGCUCGUAGUUGAAUUUCGGGGUUUAUCCGUUGGUCGGGCUUUUGGGUCUGUACUGGCGUGAUGGAUUCCUACCUUCUGAAUAACCAGCAUGUCAUUAAUUUGGUGCGUUGGGGAAGCAGGACUGUUACCUUGAAAAAAUUAGAGUGCUUAAAGCAGGCUAUUGCCUGAAUACAUUAGCAUGGAAUAAUGAAAUAGGACGCAUGGUUCUAUUUUGUUGGUUUCUAGGAUCACCGUAAUGAUUAAUAGGGAUAGUUGGGGGCAUUAGUAUUCAAUUGUCAGAGGUGAAAUUCUUGGAUUUAUUGAAGACUAACUUCUGCGAAAGCAUUUGCCAAGGAUGUUUUCAUUAAUCAAGAACGAAAGUUAGGGGAUCGAAGACGAUCAGAUACCGUCGUAGUCUUAACCAUAAACUAUGCCGACUAGGGAUCGGACGAUGUUAAUUUUUAAUGACUCGUUCGGCGCCUUA
Molecule: ribosomal RNA, 520 nt
Filed under: uncultured Glomeromycotina
Lineage: Eukaryota; Fungi; Glomeromycota
Also listed under: 1 other name
Description: SSU rRNA
Rfam family: Eukaryotic small subunit ribosomal RNA
Source: RNAcentral